Molecule: ribosomal RNA, 253 nt
Filed under: uncultured bacterium
Lineage: Bacteria
Description: partial 16S ribosomal RNA
Rfam family: Bacterial small subunit ribosomal RNA
Source: RNAcentral
GACGAACCGUGCGAACGUUGUUCGGAUUCACUGGGCUUAAAGGGCGCGUAGGCGGGCGGCCGCGUCCGGGGUGAAAUCCCACGGCUCAACCGUGGAACGGCCUCGGAUACGGGCGGCCUGGAGGCGGGUAGGGGCAGGCGGAACUGUGGGUGGAGCGGUGAAAUGCGUUGAGAUCCACAGGAACGCCGGUGGCGAAGGCGGCCUGCUGGACCCGAACUGACGCUGAGGCGCGAAAGCCAGGGGAGCGAACGGG